Pelobates cultripes (western spadefoot toad) is the source of this 527-nucleotide non-coding RNA. The record is from the annotation of a GenBank genome assembly. Lineage: Eukaryota; Metazoa; Chordata; Amphibia; Anura; Pelobatidae.
UGAGGGUGCUGUUAGUGUGCUGUGUGUGAGGGUGCUGUUUGUGAGGGAACUGGUAGUGUGCUGUGUCUGUGUGUGUGUGUGUGAGAGGGUGUUUGUGUGUGCGUGUUUGUUCGGGUCCUGUUAGUGUGCUGUUUGUGUGCGGGUGUUGUGUGUUUGUCAGGGUGCUGUUUGUAUGAGAGUGUGCUGUUUGUAUGAGAGUGUGCUGUUUGUGUGUGGGUGCUGUGCGGGUGUUGUGUGUGGGUUUUGUGUGUUUGUGAGGAUGCUGUUAGUGUGCUGGAUGUGUGUGGGUGUUGUAUGUGUGUGGGUGCUGUGUGUGCGAGGGUGAUGUAUGUGUGUGUGUGGGUGCUGUUUGUGGGCUGUGUGUGCUGUAUGUGUGUGUGCUGUAUGUUUGGGUGGAGGUGGGGGCAGACUAGUUAAUAUCCCAGUCCUGCUGCCUUCCCUGGUGGUUCAGUGGAGAGUGAACUCUAGCCCGGGUUCUCUGCUGCCUCCCUCCAUGCUGCUGUGGACCGGUGAGGUAGAACUUUGAU